This 2931-nucleotide long non-coding RNA is filed under the name Homo sapiens (human). RNAcentral describes it as "HSALNT0380986". The record is from RNAcentral. Lineage: Eukaryota; Metazoa; Chordata; Mammalia; Primates; Hominidae.
ACUCCUCCUGUACUCAGGCCCCAGCUCCUCUGUUCUGCCCAGUGGCCUGGCGCAGGAAAGGUGACCCAGUAGUUCAGCCUGUCCCAGCUGCCUGCCCCAGCACCAUCCCAGACCCCUUUCCCUGGGGCCCACCUUGGCCCUGAGGAAGGCCAGAGCUCGGCUGCUGUUCUCCAGGAAGUGCACACGCAGGCGGCCCCGGCUCGGGGGUGGCAGGGCCUCCCCUGAGAUGAGCUCCAGCAGCCGCAGGAGGUGGAUGCCGUCAGCCAGCUCUGUGUACAGGUUCCGGAUCUUGAUGCCCGCCUGGGGAGGGGACAGGGGUAAGUAUGGGGUCAGCCCAGCCUCACCUGUCCUCCCAUCCUGGGACCUGAGAGGUACGACCCAGAGCAGCUGCUUUGGAAGAAGGAGCUCUGGCCUCAGCUUGGCCUCAGGCAGAUGACCCCACAGCUCACCCCGGAGGCCCACUGGCCAGAGCUGGGGGCCUGGUAUGGGUGGGCUGUGGGUCACAGCUGGCUAUACUCACCUGGCCGCACUGGAAGACGUUAUUGAUCCACUUGGUGAAAGUCUUCUCCUGCAUCUGCAUGUGCCGGGCCUGUAGCUUGCGAAUGUGGCCCGUCUCGUACUGAGAGUCCAUGGUGAGACUUGGACUGGGCGGGACCCGGAGUUCUGUGCUGGGCCUCCUGCUGCGGUGCCCUGCAGCCCCGAGGAGCUCCCGGGGACUGUGGGGCUGACCAGCCAUCAGCCCUGCAGACUUUGGGGAUGAGGAGCUGCUGGAUGGCUCCCUAAACCUGGAGGGCAUGCAGAUUAGGGGAUGAUGUGAAUGGAGAUGGCCCCUCUACCAGGGGCCUGGGGUCCCGCCUUGCCAGACUGUCCUCACAUUUCAUGGGGGUUGCAGCUUGGAGCCCAGCCAGGUAAGGGCCAGUGCUUCUGGUCCCCUGUGCUUGAAUGGCCCAGGGCCCCCUUUGCCCCACCCCACCUUCCAGAUUCUUCUUCUCAGAGCCCCUGCUGCCAGGUCCCUCCACCACAGUGACUGGGACAGGUGGAAGGAAGACAGGAAACUGCUUACCUUGGUGAUGCCUGGGUCCCACAGAGACGGCUCUGCUGGACGGAUGGAGAUGGUAGAUAGCAGGGGCUGCUUACCUUGGUGAUGCCUGGGUUCCACAGAGGCGGCCCAGCUGGACGGAUGGAGAUGGCAGAUAGCAGGGGCUGUGGAGGGAGGGAGAGGGACAUCAGGAGAGGCCAAGGCUGGAGCAGGGCUGCACCACAGCCCUCCCCUUGAGCCAGCGUGCUGGGGUGACGGCACACAGGCGGCAUUGUCCUCCCACCUGCCACAGGGCGUGGCCCAGACAGGGAGGGGGUGGUUCAGGAAUGCUCCAGGGCCAUUGCCAGAUGAUGUCCUCCUUCAUCAUCCUCCCUUCCCCGCCAGCAACUUCUCCAACUCCAGGUGGGGGUCCUGGCUCCCAGGACGCAGAGGCCCAUGGAGCGGCCCUGCCACCGCAUGGGGUGCUGCAGUCUGCGUAGGAGGUACCAAAGGGCAGAGCCUCUGUGGGAAGCCUGUGGACGCACUUCCCAAUCUGAGACUGCCCUCUGUACCCUCUUGGGGCCUCUCUGUGAGCACCCAGGGCGAGGGGAUGAGGGAGCGUCCUGGGCCGUGGUCUUCUCAUUCACCCCCAGGGAACAGCCCAUAGACUGAGGGCCUCACAGACCCUGGGCUUGGCUUUCCAGGCCCUGCCAGAGUGCAGCCUGCCUAGCCCGGGGCUGAAGGGUAGGCUCCCUGGAGGAAGGGGUGACCUGGAACUGCGAGGGCUGUGGAGUCUCCUCCAAAAUUAGAGACACGGUGUUAACUCUGGGCUCCACAGAGCUGGCCGUGGCCCGGGGCUCGGAGGCAGGGGUGCAGAGGGAGCUGGUGGGCGCCCAUCCCUUCCUCCCCGAGCAGCCGUGGACUACAUGCCAGAGUGAAGGCGAGUUCUAAUUCUGGGGGUCUCACCCGCCUCUGGCUAAACUCAGGGUAGCAGUGUGGGCUGGGGUGUGUGUGUGUGGGUGUCUUCCAGCGGCCCUGGAGCCUCUGAAGCGACAGCCCGCUCCUCAGGGAGGCGCUCCUGGCAGCCACAGCCCACAGCAGGACAGCCGCUCAGCGCGCCCUUGAGAGCUGGGCUAGGGAUGAGUCACACUUGAACCGCCUGGGCCCACUGCAGGCAGUCAGGGGUGACGCUGAGAGGUGCCGUGGUCUCGGGUGGGGUGCGGCUUCCUGCGUCUGAGAGACGCUUCCUCUCCUGCUGUCCUCUCCCUGCCAGGCCCCUUCUGCAGCGGCUGGCUUCCAGACACCCUGCGUCCCUCCCUUGCUCGCAGCAGUUGCUGUGGCGGUCCUCCCGUGCACCCCCCCUUCUGCCCUCACUGCCCCUGGGGGUCCUCAUCACGGACCCCCUAACUCGGCAUCCUGGACACCACCACCCCGCACCUUUCCACAGUGCAGCUCUGCUCGUGCCUGUGAAGCCUCCCACAGCCUGGGAAGGAAAAUCCAGACUUGCCAGACCUUGCCUCAGCCAGGCCUUGGAAGCCUGCCAGCUUACCUAACCAGUAAGACCCUCAGCCCAUGGAGUCCUGUGUGAUGUUGUGAGCGUGGGAGGACAGACUGAACUGCUCGGCCCGUGGAGUCCUGUGUGAUGUUGUGAGCGGGGAGGACAGACUGAACUGCGUGGUGCUUCGCACAUAGACCUCAACAGGGAUUGGCAUUUUGAAGCUGUUGGCGGGGGCUGUGGACUGCUUUUCUUCCUUUCUAGCUCAACGGCAGCUAAAGCCACUGCAUACAAUGCAAGGACUGGCUCCUGUUUGGCCACGACUGAUUGCAGCCCCUGGUGAAAUGAGAACCCUGUGGGUCGGAACAAAGUUUGGAUUAUUUAUGUUGCAAGUAACUAAAAUCUCAAGUGAAACUGG